Molecule: ribosomal RNA, 207 nt
Filed under: uncultured bacterium
Lineage: Bacteria
Description: partial 16S ribosomal RNA
Rfam family: Bacterial small subunit ribosomal RNA
Source: RNAcentral
UCUGUAGGUGGCACUUCAAGUCUGCUGUCAAAGACCGAAGCUUAACUUCGGGAAGGCGGUGGAAACUGAAGAGCUAGAGGUAAGCAGGGGUAGAGGGAAUUCCCAGUGUAGCGGUGAAAUGCGUAGAGAUUGGGAAGAACACCAGUGGCGAAGGCGCUCUACUGGGCUUUAACUGACACUGAGAGACGAAAGCUAGGGUAGCGAAAG